AACGAACGCUGGCGGCAUGCCUAACACAUGCAAGUCGAACGAUACCUUCGGGUCUAGUGGCGCACUGGUGCGUAACGCGUGGGAACCUGCCCUUAGGUUCGGAAUAACUCCCCGAAAGGGGUGCUAAUACCGGAUAAUGUCUUCGGACCAAAGAUUUAUCGCCUUUGGAUGGGCCCGCGUUGGAUUAGCUAGUUGGUAGGGUAAAAGCCUACCAAGGCGACGAUCCAUAGCUGGUCUGAGAGGAUGAUCAGCCACACUGGGACUGAGACACGGCCCAGACUCCUACGGGAGGCAGCAGUGGGGAAUAUUGGAAAAUGGGCGAAAGCCUGAUCCAGCAAUGCCGCGUGAGUGAUGAAGGCCUUAGGGUUGUAAAGCUAUUUUACCCGGGAUGAUAAUGACAGUACCGGGAGAAUAAGCUCCGGCUAACUCCGUG
This 433-nucleotide ribosomal RNA is filed under the name uncultured bacterium. RNAcentral's name for it is "partial 16S ribosomal RNA". It matches the Rfam family "Bacterial small subunit ribosomal RNA", at positions 29 to 507 of the family's 1533-position model. The record is from RNAcentral.